GGGGAAUAUUGGACAAUGGGCGAAAGCCUGAUCCAGCCAUGCCGCGUGUGUGAAGAAGGCCUUUUGGUUGUAAAGCACUUUAAGUGGGGAGGAAAAGCUUAUGGUUAAUACCCAUAAGCCCUGACGUUACCCACAGAAUAAGCACCGGCUAACUCUGUGCCAGCAGCCGCGGUAAUACAGAGGGUGCAAGCGUUAAUCGGAAUUACUGGGCGUAAAGCGCGCGUAGGUGGUUAUUUAAGUCAGAUGUGAAAGCCCCGGGCUUAACCUGGGAACUGCAUCUGAUGCUGGAUAACUAGAGUAGGUGAGGGGGGAGUAGAAUUCCAGGUGUAGCGGUGAAAUGCGUAGAGAUCUGGAGGAAUACCGAUGGCGAAGGCAGCUCCCUGGCAUCAUACUGACACUGAGGUGCGAAAGCGUGGGUAGCAAACAGGAUUAGAUACCCUGGUAGUCCACGCCGUAAACGAUGUCUACCAGUCGUUGGGUCUUUUAAAGACUUAGUGACGCAGUUAACGCAAUAAGUAGACCGCCUGGGGAGUACGGCCGCAAGGUUA
RNAcentral lists this ribosomal RNA (548 nucleotides) under uncultured bacterium. RNAcentral describes it as "bacterial SSU rRNA". It matches the Rfam family "Bacterial small subunit ribosomal RNA", at positions 356 to 896 of the family's 1533-position model. The record is from RNAcentral.